Long non-coding RNA from Lolium rigidum, 254 nucleotides. RefSeq lists it as uncharacterized. NCBI's taxonomy places the organism in Eukaryota, Viridiplantae, Streptophyta, Magnoliopsida, Poales, Poaceae. The transcript has 3 exons. The record is from RefSeq and is a predicted model, not a curated record.
CGCGAAGACUAUUGGCAUGCUGCCACUGAAAUUUGAUCACACAUGGUUCAGCGCCUUCAAGGUGUUUGAUGUUUUGGCUUUGUAUAAUAAUUCUGGCUAAUUGCAGCUAAAUUUCUGGUUACUUGUGUGGUCCAUUGCUCCAGUAUAGAACUUGGAAGCUGAAGCAUAUAUUUUUCAAAUCCAGCAAAGGAGGAGGGAAUAUAUGCUCUUCAUUAUUCUCGUAUGUCGCUUCAAAAUGUUCUAAACAAGCAAAA